Molecule: ribosomal RNA, 492 nt
Filed under: uncultured bacterium
Lineage: Bacteria
Description: partial 16S ribosomal RNA
Rfam family: Bacterial small subunit ribosomal RNA
Source: RNAcentral
AGUGAACGCUGGCGGUAGGCCUAACACAUGCAAGUCGAACGGCAGCACAGUAAGAGCUUGCUCUUACGGGUGGCGAGUGGCGGACGGGUGAGGAAUACAUCGGAAUCUACUUUUUCGUGGGGGAUAACGUAGGGAAACUUACGCUAAUACCGCAUACGACCUACGGGUGAAAGCAGGGGAUCUUCGGACCUUGCGCGAUUGAAUGAGCCGAUGUCGGAUUAGCUAGUUGGCGGGGUAAAGGCCCACCAAGGCGACGAUCCGUAGCUGGUCUGAGAGGAUGAUCGGCCACACUGGAACUGAGACACGGUCCAGACUCCUACGGGAGGCAGCAGUGGGGAAUAUUGGACAAUGGGCGCAAGCCUGACCCAGCCAUACCGCGUGGGCGAAGAAGGCCUUCGGGUUGUAAAUCCCUUUUGUUGGGAAAGAAAAGCAGCAGGUUAAUACCCCGCUGUUCUGACGGUACCCAAAGAAUAAGCACCGGCUAACUUCGUG